Molecule: long non-coding RNA, 1513 nt
Organism: Girardinichthys multiradiatus
Lineage: Eukaryota; Metazoa; Chordata; Actinopteri; Cyprinodontiformes; Goodeidae
Exons: 2
Source: RefSeq, a predicted model, not a curated record
AAAAGGAAGGUGAAAUCUUCUAAAAGUAAAGAUAUUUCAAUCCUGAGAUGAUAAAUGGAAUAAACAUUAUGAAAUGCAGGAUUCCUUUCCUAGCCGAGCAGUUUAAAACACUUGAAUCUUUUUCUUUUUAGGAGGAACCUUCUCUUUCCUCAUUUCUGAAAGCGUCCAUUUAGCUGCACUCAACAACUCCACCAGCAAAAGUCACUAAAUUAGACAUUUUAACCAAAUCUCUGAAGUAAAUCAGAGCUCUUGAUUUUUUUUCUUAAAACCUCAGCAGACAAAACAGUUGGUCCAAGUAAAAAAAAAGAUAGUAAGGCAGAUUUUCUGCUUUUUUCCUUUGCAUUUUUAUUUUUUAUGGAUUUUAUUAAUGUUGAUUUAAUCAUAUUCAUUGCUGAUGGUAGAUUAAGUUUUCUAAAUGAAAUGCAAAAUUAUUGAAAAAAAAGCCACACCCAGGCCUGAAUACUGAGACGUGUAGAAUUAAGAAAUAACUGAAGUACUUGUCGAAGUAGAAUAAAAGACUGCAAAAAGCAAAAUAUUAGGCCCCAAACAAAAAAACACCAUGAGAUGAGAAACCAAGUCCCUGACAGCUAUCAGUCUGCAAAGGUUUACAAAGCUUUUUCUAAGGCUUUUGAACUCCAGAGAACCACAGUGAGGACCAUUAUCCACAAAUGGAGAAAAUAUGGAACAGCCGUGAACCUUCUCAGGAGACGCCAGCCUACCAACAUUUCUUCAAGAGUGCACCGACAACUCCUCCAGGAGGUCACAAAAGAAUUCAAAAACAAUCUAAAGUGCUGCAGGCCUUUUGUACCUCAUUUAAGUGACUACGAUCUGAUGAUCGAAUACCCGCCGAUCGAAAGCAACUUCAAAGUUAAGUACGAUCAGCUUCUCAAAACGCUCUAGCUUCGUACAAAAGGGGUAAUUAAGACAAGAGGGGCCUGUGUUCCAGGGAGUUCCCAGCAAAGACCCUUUCACUAACAAUGUCGAGAGAAGCGAUUUCCCCCCUGCCUGAAAGAGGACAUCUUCCUCUUUGGACGUCCUUGAGUGGACGUCCGUGUAGUGGGAGCUAUCCCUUGGUUCUCCUCGCAUACACCAAACACGGUGAGAAGACAAAGCACUUGUCACGUUCCAUAUAUUUGCUAUCGAUGGCAGUCAUAAUUAUCUCAGUCUGAUAUUUCUUUAUAUUUUUGUUUAUUUAUUUACUGCCUUUCUUCACUAUGUAAACAGUUUCACAUACAGACAUCAUAACAGUCAGUUGAGUUCAAACCCAUGUCUUCUCUACCUUUACCUCUCAAGCAAAUCCCUCUUUCUUGAAAGGCACUGCUGCAAUAUGCUGUUGUGGGGAAAUGCCAGACUUUGUCAUACCAUGUGCUCUUUAAUUUUGGUAAAAUUUUGUCAGGAAGAUCUUGAUUGAUCUCUGGUUGUUUAUUCUGGUGGUGUUUUAUUGGACUGCAUUAUAAACCCAUGGAUAUCUUUGUAAUGUCAUGUUUACGAAUAAAAAAAGGCUUUCACAUGA